RNAcentral lists this transfer RNA (63 nucleotides) under Cricetulus griseus (Chinese hamster). It matches the Rfam family "tRNA", at positions 5 to 66 of the family's 71-position model. Rfam says of the family: Transfer RNA (tRNA) molecules are approximately 80 nucleotides in length. The record is from Rfam by way of RNAcentral. Lineage: Eukaryota; Metazoa; Chordata; Mammalia; Rodentia; Cricetidae.
AUGUGGCUUAGUGGUAGGGCACAUAAUUAACAUUCAUGAGACCCUGGAUUCAAUUCCUAGCAU